This 433-nucleotide ribosomal RNA is filed under the name uncultured bacterium. RNAcentral's name for it is "partial 16S ribosomal RNA". It matches the Rfam family "Bacterial small subunit ribosomal RNA", at positions 29 to 507 of the family's 1533-position model. The record is from RNAcentral.
AACGAACGCUGGCGGCAUGCCUAACACAUGCAAGUCGAACGAGACCUUCGGGUCUAGUGGCGCACGGGUGCGUAACGCGUGGGAACCUGCCCUCAGGUUCGGAAUAACUCCCCGAAAGGGGUGCUAAUACCGGAUAAUGUCUUCGGACCAAAGAUUUAUCGCCUUUGGAUGGGCCCGCGUUGGAUUAGCUAGUUGGUAGGGUAAAAGCCUACCAAGGCGACGAUCCAUAGCUGGUCUGAGAGGAUGAUCAGCCACACUGGGACUGAGACACGGCCCAGACUCCUACGGGAGGCAGCAGUGGGGAAUAUUGGACGAUGGGCGAAAGCCUGAUCAAGCAAUGCCGCGUGAGUGAUGAAGGCCUUAGGGUUGUAAAGCUCUUUUACCCGGGAUGAUAAUGACAGUACCGGGAGAAUAAGCUCCGGCUAACUCCGUG